This 444-nucleotide ribosomal RNA is filed under the name Christensenella timonensis. RNAcentral's name for it is "bacterial SSU rRNA". It matches the Rfam family "Bacterial small subunit ribosomal RNA", at positions 338 to 796 of the family's 1533-position model. Lineage: Bacteria; Bacillati; Bacillota; Clostridia; Christensenellales; Christensenellaceae. The record is from RNAcentral.
CCUACGGGAGGCAGCAGUGGGGAAUAUUGGGCAAUGGGCGAAAGCCUGACCCAGCAACGCCGCGUGAGGGAAGAAGGUCUUCGGAUUGUAAACCUUUGUCCUAUGGGACGAAACAAAUGACGGUACCAUAGGAGGAAGCUCCGGCUAACUACGUGCCAGCAGCCGCGGUAAUACGUAGGGAGCAAGCGUUGUCCGGAAUUACUGGGCGUAAAGGGUGCGUAGGUGGCCAUGUAAGUCAGGUGUGAAAGACCGGGGCUCAACCCCGGGGCGGCACUUGAAACUGUGUGGCUUGAGUACAGGAGAGGGAAGUGGAAUUCCUAGUGUAGCGGUGAAAUGCGUAGAUAUUAGGAGGAACACCAGUGGCGAAGGCGACUUUCUGGACUGUAACUGACACUGAGGCACGAAAGCGUGGGGAGCAAACAGGAUUAGAUACCCUGGUAGUCC